UGAAAAGUUCGUUCGAGUUUU
This 21-nucleotide microRNA is filed under the name Bos taurus (domestic cattle). RNAcentral's name for it is "bta-miR-2285bo". The record is from miRBase by way of RNAcentral. Lineage: Eukaryota; Metazoa; Chordata; Mammalia; Artiodactyla; Bovidae.